Molecule: ribosomal RNA, 502 nt
Filed under: uncultured bacterium
Lineage: Bacteria
Description: bacterial SSU rRNA
Rfam family: Bacterial small subunit ribosomal RNA
Source: RNAcentral
CUGGCGGCGUGCCUAACACAUGCAAGUCGAACGAGAAAGUGGAGCAAUCCAUGAGUAAAGUGGCGACCGGGUGAGUAACACAUGACUAACCUACCUCCGAGUGGGGAAUAACUCCGGGAAACCGGGGCUAAUACCGCAUAACAUCGCAAGAUCAAAGCAGCAAUGCGCUUGGAGAGGGGGUCGCGGCUGAUUAGCUAGUUGGCGGGGUAACGGCCCACCAAGGCGAAGAUCGGUAUCCGGCCUGAGAGGGCGCACGGGCACACUGGAACUGAAACACGGUCCAGACUCCUACGGGAGGCAGCAGUGGGGAAUUUUGCGCAAUGGGGGAAACCCUGACGCAGCAACGCCGCGUGGAGGAUGAAGCCCUUUGGGGCGUAAACUCCUUUCGACUCGGAAGAUAAUGACGGUACGAGUGGAAGAAGCACCGGCUAACUCUGUGCCAGCAGCCGCGGUAAUACAGAGGGUGCGAGCGUUGUUCGGAAUUAUUGGGCGUAAAGGGCGC